This is a long non-coding RNA of Cyprinus carpio (common carp), 1221 nucleotides long. NCBI's taxonomy places the organism in Eukaryota, Metazoa, Chordata, Actinopteri, Cypriniformes, Cyprinidae. The record is from Ensembl.
AUGCAAAUGAACAGGAAGACUUUUGAGUUUGAGAGUGGAAACUGUUGCAUCUCAUCCUGUUCAAGACACUUACUACAACAUAUCUUGCAGGUGCUCAACAGGAAAUCUGGUGUCUUAUUUUCAGUCGAGCUGAAAGCCAUGAAACUCAUUCUGCGGUGGAUUUUUUGCUUCAGUUUAGGUUUUGUCACUGAUUGCCAAGUGAAUCGUUAUGGAUUGAAAGGAAGCUCAAUCCGUCUGAGCAUCAGUCCCAGAAAUCAGUCACUAACUAAUGUUGGAUGGCAACGAUUCAACAGGAAAGAGGUGCUUACAGACGCAAAAGAAGUUUCCCCUCAUUUUAAGAAAAGAAUGAUCCUAAACGUCUCAGACUGGUCUUUGACCAUACACAACCUUGAGGAAAAUGACAGUGGACUGUAUGAAGCCAUUAAGAAGUGGGAGGUUGAACCUCUGGCUGCAUUCACACUUACAGUGGAGAACACUGUCUCUAAGCCUGUAAUCAGAGUGGAUCAACAUGACUUUAAUUCGUCUGCUGAAGUGUGUCGGGCUGCAGUGAACUGUUCAGCUGAUGGCAGCUGGGCCACGUUUGACUGCCACCAAAAUGUCUGUACAAAGAUACAAUCCUCUCCAUUCUCCAUUAACAUCACUGUCACUGCACUGGACAGCAGUGGCAUCAAAUGCAACGUCAACAACAACGUGAGCAUGAAUCAUUCUCAGACUCCCUUUACGUGCCAUGAAAAGCAGAAAAGUGAUUAUCGUUUUCUCCCAUCGCUCAUCUUCUGGAUCGUUGGCACCGUUUGUGGUGGUGUUUUGUUGGGUUUGGUUAUGGGUGGGAUUGUAGCAUUUGUCAAGAGAAGAAAAUGUUCAAAAGUUCAUCCACAGUCCAGUCGUGUUGUGAUUGAACAGCAUCAUGAAACAAUUUACUGCACCGUGGAAAAGCCGGCCACAUCCCAGACACAUCCAGGAAACAACACUGUCAGCAACAAAGUAGAAACCAUCUACGACACUCCAUCACGACAUACCAAGGCUUGUCAAGUAGACAGUGUGGAGGUGAUGAGAGACAAUCAGGAGCAACAGCAAUCUGGACAAGACAGAACUAUUCAAGUAAAAGCUACAGUUCACCAGGCAGCAGAACCCGAUUCAGAUCCAAUAAACACUGUUUACUGUAAACUGGGAGAGAUAUGACACAAACACAUACUGAGACGUCACUUCAGUGGAGAUUUAAAU